This is a long non-coding RNA of Pecten maximus, 169 nucleotides long. RefSeq lists it as uncharacterized. The record is from RefSeq and is a predicted model, not a curated record. NCBI's taxonomy places the organism in Eukaryota, Metazoa, Mollusca, Bivalvia, Pectinida, Pectinidae. The transcript is spliced from 2 exons.
GUACGCCUGAAACACUGUCAGCUUUAUGACAGCUCGUAGAAGACUAUUGUCCGAUAACAAAUCACGGGAAUCAAACAAAGCCAAAGAAGAAAAGAUCUACCAUGGGUACAUGACCUAAGCACUAUCAAAGUUUUCAAUACUAAAUAAUAAAAUAUUAUCAAUCAUCAAA